This 456-nucleotide ribosomal RNA is filed under the name uncultured bacterium. RNAcentral describes it as "bacterial SSU rRNA". It matches the Rfam family "Bacterial small subunit ribosomal RNA", at positions 340 to 789 of the family's 1533-position model. The record is from RNAcentral.
UACGGAAGGCAGCAGUGGGGAAUAUUGCACAAUGGGCGAAAGCCUGAUGCAGCUAUGCCGCGUGUAUGAAGAAGGCCUUAGGGUUGUAAAGUACUUUCAUCGGGGAGGAAAAACAAAACUAAUAAUUUUAUUUCUUGACGUUACCCGAAAAAGAAGCACCGGCUAACUCCGUGCCAGCAGCCGCGGUAAUACGGAGGGUGCUAGCGUUAAUCAGAAUUACUGGGCGUAAAGAGCACGUAGGUGGUUUUUUUAAGUCAGAUGUGAAUCCCUGGGCUUAACCUGGAACUGCAUUUUGAAACUGAAAUACUAGAGUAUCGUAGAGGGAGGUAGAAUUCUAGGUGUAGCGGUGAAAUGCGUAGAUAUCUGGAGGAAUACCUGUGGCGAAAGCGGCCUCCUAAACGAAUACUGACACUGAGGUGCGAAAGCGUGGGGAGCAAACAGGGAUUAGAUACCCGU